GUGGGGCACAGUGGUGCAUGCCUGUAGUCCGAGCUACUCGGGAGGCUGAGGUAGGAGGAUCGCUUGAGCCCAGGAGUUCUGGGCUGUAGUGCACUAUGCUGAUUGGGUGUCCGCACUAAGUUCGGCAUCAAUAUGGUGACCUCCCGGGAGUGGGGAACCACCAGGUUGCCUAAGGAGGGGUGAACUGGCCCAGGUCGGAAAUGGAGCAGGUCAAAACCCCCAUGCUGAUCAGUAGUGGGAUCACACCUGUGAAUAGCCACUGCAUUCCAGCGUGGGCAACAUAGAGAGAUCCUGUCUCU
Molecule: signal recognition particle RNA, 299 nt
Filed under: Saimiri boliviensis boliviensis (Bolivian squirrel monkey)
Lineage: Eukaryota; Metazoa; Chordata; Mammalia; Primates; Cebidae
Description: Metazoan signal recognition particle RNA (ENSSBOG00000003301.1)
Rfam family: Metazoan signal recognition particle RNA
About the family: The signal recognition particle (SRP) is a universally conserved ribonucleoprotein. It is involved in the co-translational targeting of proteins to membranes.
Source: RNAcentral